This is a long non-coding RNA of Homo sapiens (human), 452 nucleotides long. RefSeq lists it as uncharacterized. The transcript is spliced from 3 exons. NCBI's taxonomy places the organism in Eukaryota, Metazoa, Chordata, Mammalia, Primates, Hominidae. The record is from RefSeq and is a predicted model, not a curated record.
AAAUAAGAAUAUUGAGAGCCAAGGAAUUCUAUCAAGCAAAGAUGUUCUACUCAGGUUUAUGAACAGUUUUCCCCCUGUAUGGCUGUACUGUUUAUUCCACUGAGCCUGGCUGCAUCCUUCUGCUUUGAUUUAUAGGGAAGGCAGAAGUCAACACCUAAAAGAUGUGACUUUUAAAACAGUUGCCUAUAAUUUCAACUCGACUUUCUAUUACCAAAACACAUACUGCUGUGAAUCCUUAUUAUCAAGCGGCAAUUGAACAUCACAAAAAGGCCAGCAGAUAAAUAGGAGCCUAACAGAAUAUACUAUCUGAAACAUAAAGUGAUGGUGAAAAGAAUUUGCAUGCUUCUCUAUGGUCAGCACUGUCGUAUACAAGUUGUAAAGAGCCCUCAAGAAUAUAUUAAAGGGAAUGUAAAUAAAUCACAGUGUUUCUAGUGUGACGUAAUUAAUCUGUG